ACAGCAGCAGCCGCGGUAAUACGAAGGGGGCUAGCGUUGUUCGGAAUCACUGGGCGUAAAGGGUGCGUAGGCGGAUCCUUAAGUCAGGGGUGAAAUCCCGAGGCUCAGCCUCGGAACUGCCUUUGAUACUGGGGAUCUUGAGUCCGGAAGAGGUGAGUGGAACUGCGAGUGUAGAGGUGAAAUUCGUAGAUAUUCGCAAGAACACCGGUGGCGAAGGCGGCUCACUGGUCCGGAACUGACGCUGAGGCACGACAGCGUGGGGAGCAAACAGGAUUAGAGACCCCUGUAGUCCCUGUCUCUUAUAC
Molecule: ribosomal RNA, 305 nt
Filed under: uncultured bacterium
Lineage: Bacteria
Description: partial 16S ribosomal RNA
Rfam family: Bacterial small subunit ribosomal RNA
Source: RNAcentral